GUCGAAAGCGGGGAAGAAGACUCAGUGUGGGAGCUUGAAGACACCGGAACAUGUGGCUGCGAGGAAGGCGGACCAUCUAGAUGGAGCAGAGUAUGAUGCCUGAUUCCACAGGUGCGGCAGCGGCUCAAGCUGCGUUGCCGUAACUGAUGACCAGCGAUUUGCUCAGUGGUGCCCAAACCCUUCAGCGCACGAAUGUGAGCGUUAAACUUGUCCGACAAUUCCCGAAGCGAUGCCACUGAACCAUUCCGUACUACCUUUAAACCCAGAAUCUUGGUGAUGUGCGCCUGAGAAACGAGGCGCCGAUAAUUUUCUGUUAAUUUCUGUUUGAGAUUAGUCUACUGCACAUUUUUGGCGGCUGCAUGACCCAACAAUCACUUUUGUUUAUCAUCUUUUAAAAUGUAUGGGAGAUAUCGUUUGUUUGUCGAUCCAGUACAAAGGUGGUGGGGGAACUGACCGGAAAUCGUAAAAUCGACGCGGCCGACAUACUCAGGCAUGCUGCUGUUCGAAUACAUUUUUUUUGGCAUUUGAACGACGGUGAGUACAGACGUGUUUCUUUUUAGAUACGAGUAGCUAGCGAAAAUGUGAACAAGACGAGCGUCGGCUCUCUUUGCAACGCAGCAAUGCAUUAUUUUUUUUCGUCUCGCAAGCCGAUGAUCGAGCACUCCUCUGCCUGCCUAAAAAAUGCAGCAACACAGGCCAUUGCACAUUGGGCCAGCAAACCGAUUUUUCGACGAAAAUUCAAAUUUUUCAUAAAAAGUAAACCUCUUUUAAUAAUAAAAUUAGAACAGCAUAUACUUCGACUAAAAUGAAUCAAAAGAUUUUAAUUGUUUUGAUGCAUUCCUGAAAUUUUGGCAGCCCCUAUAAGUCAGCUGUGUGAUUGCAUGCGUGCGAAACUAAACAGCGCAGGUAAAAAUUUUGUUGACUUGCGAGCGUGCCAAAAUUUUUGUGGUUUAACCAGUUUUCACAAAAAUUAUGGAAAAGAAGGACCAUGGUAUGUAGAAUAUUUGUAUUAAAAAAAGUUCGUUAAUGUUUGUUAAUGCGUUUUUUGUGUGCGUUUAUUCGUGUUGUCCAAAAGUAGAAAAAAGUUAACCUGCUAAUCCGUCUUUUGUAGAGUAUAACUAAUUUUGUGCCAAUUUGUGCCAAAGAGUAAUUAUGUGUCAUUAUAGUGCAAAGUGUGUAUAAACUAAUUUUAAAAAUCUUUUUGCUCCUUUUUGCUCCGAUGUGUAUAAUCCUUAAUAUUACAGCUGUGGUUGAGUUGGCUAAUGAGCAACUGCUUGAUAUCUACAUACAAAACAAUCGUAGCGCAUCUUCCGUUUCGAGUUGGAUUUAUGAUGAACUGAAAGAAUUCCACUUAAGCACGGAGAAAAAGAUUGAAAUCAAUACCAAAGUGAGAAGCUUUCACCUUUACAUACAAAAGAAUUUGGCAAAUUGUAAUAGAAAUAUGGCCAGAUUUAAGACAAAGCAUACCAAAUGGCUUUCGUCCAACAUGGUUAUAACAGUAAGUUCAUUGUUGUCUUCAAAUCCAAAGCCGUCUACAUCAAGACGAGUUGGACGCCCGCCUAAGCUACUAGCUGAAAUGUUAGGUCUUGAUUCCUCAUUGCAUAUUUUAGCAAUAUUUUAAUUGCUAUUUCUUGUGACCUACCAAUUGAUCCAACACAAUUAAAAAAAUUAUUGCCAGAAAACCAUUACUAUAUGUCCUUGUAUCCACGGUUUCCAAUGUCGGCAACGGUCCAUAAAGUGUUAAUAGAAUACCAAAUAAUAGAAGCAUCAAUCCUUCCAUUAGGUGUUCUUGGCGAAAACGCCGAAGAGGCUCGCAACAAAUACUAUAAGAGUGACAGGAGGUUACAUGCUCGAAAGAGUACACGGCAGAACAACAUGGCAGACGUUUUCCACAGAGCAAUGGAUUCCUCAGAUCCUCUUGUGUCGAGCAUCUAUCUAACAAAAA
This is a long non-coding RNA of Drosophila yakuba, 1945 nucleotides long. RefSeq lists it as uncharacterized. Lineage: Eukaryota; Metazoa; Arthropoda; Insecta; Diptera; Drosophilidae. The record is from RefSeq and is a predicted model, not a curated record. The transcript has 2 exons.